UUGAUGCACACUUGCUUUUCUUGAACCACACAUGAAAUCUGGCUGAUCAACUGAAUCUACCACAAGCUCAGGGUUUGCUGAUUCUAACUCGAAUAUGACCUACACAGUGGUGAACCAAACCACUUAAGGAAGAAAAUUUCAUUGAAAUUGGAAACUACAGGCAUUUUUCGAAAUUACAGAAUGAAUACACCAAUUCGGAUUAUGGAGACAUCUCAUACCAAAACAUUUUCCCCAUGCCGAAGGAUUGGAG
Molecule: long non-coding RNA, 250 nt
Filed under: Durio zibethinus
Lineage: Eukaryota; Viridiplantae; Streptophyta; Magnoliopsida; Malvales; Malvaceae
Description: long non-coding RNA (DZIB_LNC001602)
Source: RNAcentral